GACGAACGCUGGCGGCGUGCUUAACACAUGCAAGUCGAACGGAAAGGCCCUGCUUUCGUGGGGUGCUCGAGUGGCGAACGGGUGAGUAACACGUGAGUAACCUGCCCUUGACUUUGGGAUAACUUCAGGAAACUGGGGCUAAUACCGGAUAGGAGCUCCUGCUGCAUGGUGGGGGUUGGAAAGUUUCGGCGGUUGGGGAUGGACUCGCGGCUUAUCAGCUUGUUGGUGGGGUAGUGGCUUACCAAGGCUUUGACGGGUAGCCGGCCUGAGAGGGUGACCGGGCACAUUGGGACUGAGAUACGGCCCAGACUCCUACGGGAGGCAGCAGUGGGGAAUAUUGCACAAUGGGCGGGAGCCUGAUGCAGCAACGCCGCGUGCGGGAUGACGGCCUUCGGGUUGUAAACCGCAUUCGCCUGUGACGAAGCGUGAGUGACGGUAAUGGGUAAAGAAGCACCGGCUAACUACGUG
This 468-nucleotide ribosomal RNA is filed under the name uncultured bacterium. RNAcentral describes it as "partial 16S ribosomal RNA". It matches the Rfam family "Bacterial small subunit ribosomal RNA", at positions 28 to 507 of the family's 1533-position model. The record is from RNAcentral.